GACGAACGCUGGCGGCGUGCUUAACACAUGCCAGUCGAACGGAAAGGCCCUGCUUUUGUGGGGUGCUCGAGUGGCGAACGGGUGAGUAACACGUGAGUAACCUGCCCUUGACUUUGGGAUAACUUCAGGAAACUGGGGCUACUACCGGAUAGGAGCUCCUGCUGCAUGGAGGGGGGUGGAAAGUUUCGGCCGUUGGGGAUGGACUCGCGGCUUAUCAGCUUGUUGGUGGGGUAGUGGCUUACCAAGGCAUUGACUGGUAGCCGGCCUGAGAGGGUGACCGGGCACAUGGGGACUGAGAGACGGCCCAGACUCCUAUGGGAGGCAGCAGUGGGGAAUAUUGCACAAUGGGCGGAAGCCUGAUGAAGCAACGCCGCGUUCGGGAUGACGGCCUUUGGGUUGUAAACCGCUUUCGCCUGUGACGAAGCGGGAGUGACGGUAAUGGGUAAAGAAGCACCGGCUAACUACGUG
This 468-nucleotide ribosomal RNA is filed under the name uncultured bacterium. Its description in RNAcentral is "partial 16S ribosomal RNA". It matches the Rfam family "Bacterial small subunit ribosomal RNA", at positions 28 to 507 of the family's 1533-position model. The record is from RNAcentral.